This is a long non-coding RNA of Homo sapiens (human), 202 nucleotides long. RefSeq lists it as uncharacterized. Lineage: Eukaryota; Metazoa; Chordata; Mammalia; Primates; Hominidae. The transcript is spliced from 2 exons. The record is from RefSeq and is a predicted model, not a curated record.
UUAAUUGACAGCAAGCCUUGAUGAACUUACGGGGAGGAGAAGAUAAAAAGUAAUAAUAGAAUAAGAAAACAGAAGUGUGAUGUAAAGACACAAUUGGAGACACUGAUUGUUUCACCAAGGCUUUAUCUGAAAUGCCAUGUUUUCAGACUGUUUUCAAAAAUUGGAGUUGACUUAUAGAGCCAAUAAAAACCCCUUGGAGAAA